RNAcentral lists this ribosomal RNA (494 nucleotides) under uncultured bacterium. Its description in RNAcentral is "partial 16S ribosomal RNA". It matches the Rfam family "Bacterial small subunit ribosomal RNA", at positions 28 to 507 of the family's 1533-position model. The record is from RNAcentral.
GACGAACGCUGGCGGCGUGCUUAACACAUGCAAGUCGAACGGAAAGGCCUGCUUUCCCUUGUGGAUUGCGGGUACUCGAGUGGCGAACGGGUGAGUAACACGUGAGUGAUCUGCCCCCAACUUGGGUAUAAGCCUGGGAAACUGGGUCUAAUUCCCGAUAGGACUGCAGGGUGGUGCCUGUGGUGGAAAACGAUUUUCUAGUGGUUGGGGAUGAGCUCGCGGCCUAUCAGCUUGUUGGUGGGGUAAUGGCCUACCAAGGCGGCGACGGGUAGCCGGCCUGAGAGGGUGGACGGGCACAAUGGGACUGGGAUACGGCCCAGACUCCUACGGGAGGCAGGAGUGGGGAAUAUUGCACAAUGGGCGGAAGCCUGAUGCAGCGACGCCGCGUGGGGGAUGACGGCCUUCGGGUUGUAAACUCCUUUCGACCGCGAGGAAGCCACCUGGUUGGAAGGGUGGUGACGGUAGUGGUAGAAGAAGCACCGGCUAACUACGUG